This 468-nucleotide ribosomal RNA is filed under the name uncultured bacterium. RNAcentral describes it as "partial 16S ribosomal RNA". It matches the Rfam family "Bacterial small subunit ribosomal RNA", at positions 28 to 507 of the family's 1533-position model. The record is from RNAcentral.
GACGAACGCUGGCGGCGUGCUUAACACAUGCAAGUCGAACGGAAAGGCCCUGCUUUUGUGGGGUGCUCGAGUGGCGAACGGGUGAGUAACACGUGAGUAACCUGCCCUUGACUUUGGGAUAACUUCAGGAAACUGCGGCUAAUACCGGAUAGGAGCUCCUGCUGCAUGGUGGGGGUUGGAAAGUUUCGGCGGUUGGGGAUGGACUCGCGGCUUAUCAGCUUGUUGGUGGGGUAGUGGCUUACCCAGGCUUUGACGGGUAGCCGGCCUGAGAGGGUGACCGGCGACAUUGGGACUGAGGGACGGCCCAGAGUCCUACGGGAGGCAGCGGGGGGGAAUAUUGCACAAUGGGCGGAAGCCUGAUGCAGCAACGCCGCGUGCGGGAUGACGGUCUUCGGGUUGGAAACCGCUUUCGCCUGUGACGAAGCGUGAGUGACGGUAAUGGGUAAAGAAGCACCGGCUAACUACGUG